GACGAACGCUGGCGGCGUGCUUAACACAUGCAAGUCGAACGGAAAGGCCCUGCUUGCAGGGUACUCGAGUGGCGAACGGGUGAGUAACACGUGGGUGAUCUGCCCUGCACUUCGGGAUAAGCUUGGGAAACUGGGUCUAAUACCGGAUAGGACCGCACUUUAGUGUGUGUGGUGGAAAGUUUUUUCGGUGUAGGAUGAGCUCGCGGCCUAUCAGCUUGUUGGUGGGGUAAUGGCCUACCAAGGCGGCGACGGGUAGCCGGCCUGAGAGGGUGUACGGUCACAUUGGGACUGAGAUACGGCCCAGACUCCUACGGGAGGCAGCAGUGGGGAAUAUUGCACAAUGGGCGCAAGCCUGAUGCAGCGACGCCGCGUGGGGGAUGAAGGCCUUCGGGUUGUAAACUCCUUUCGCUAGGGACGAAGCUUUUUGUGACGGUACCUAGAUAAGAAGCACCGGCUAACUACGUG
RNAcentral lists this ribosomal RNA (465 nucleotides) under uncultured bacterium. RNAcentral's name for it is "partial 16S ribosomal RNA". It matches the Rfam family "Bacterial small subunit ribosomal RNA", at positions 28 to 507 of the family's 1533-position model. The record is from RNAcentral.